RNAcentral lists this transfer RNA (66 nucleotides) under Bembras japonica (red flathead). Its description in RNAcentral is "tRNA-Cys". Lineage: Eukaryota; Metazoa; Chordata; Actinopteri; Perciformes; Bembridae. The record is from RNAcentral.
AGCCUUGAGGUGUUAUCAUGUCAGAUUGCAAAUCUGAAGAAGCAGACUAGUCGUCUGCCGGGGCUU